RNAcentral lists this long non-coding RNA (2381 nucleotides) under Paramuricea clavata. The record is from RNAcentral. Lineage: Eukaryota; Metazoa; Cnidaria; Anthozoa; Malacalcyonacea; Plexauridae.
GCUGACAAAUGAUAUCAAAAUUAAUUUAUAUACGCAUGCAACAGUUUCCGGCUAUAUAGAUUAUAAUUUAUACUGUAUAUACAGGCAUACAGCCUUUUACAGAUUAUACUUUCAUAUAUAACAAUAUACGUGCAGCUGUCUGUUUUUGGCUACAAAGAUUAAUUGUGGUGCUCCGUCCGUCUGUACGUAUAAUAAUAUAUAGGCCUUAUUCUUAAUGUACAAACUUGCCAUAAAUCAACUAAACUGAUCGAGUUUCUCUUAAAUUGUCCUAACUAACGUCGCUUAAGCCACGGUCAAACGAGGAUGAGAGUUGAUGAGUUGGCAGUCACGCAUUGCACUAAAUCACUGAAUAAUGAGAUCUCGAUAGUGUUGGCCGUUGGGAAAGCAUUGAAAGUUUGAAACAGCUAACCAAGGUCGCGUUACCGUCCAACUCUCAUGCACUCUCAUCUUCAUUUGAUCCAACUUUAAACUUGUAACUCUCGUACCAUACGGCGAGUUAUCAUCCAAGAGUCGGCCUUUUCAUUGUAGCAAUGAAACUUUAGACUAUAUAUGAAAAGUUGCUUUGCUUUGUAAUAUUCGGGCCUCAAUGAUAUUGUCAUCAGUCUAAUAUUAAGGAACCCAGAGAGGAUAUAAUUUUGACUGAAGAACGUAAAGAACGUAACAGUCGUCAUAGAUUAGCUAUGUAACAUGCUUACAUGCAUGAUGAUUUCAGAACACUCUAGAAUUGCAUAAUUGCACUAAAUGCAUGUUAUACUAAAAGAACUGUCGAGAUGAUCGUUUUGCGCACGUAUGACGUGUAUAGAUGUGUCAGUACUUGAGUUAGCACUUUGACGCCCGCAUUUUCGCUGGGUGUAACAUUUUGUGGGUUGUGGUCUACAGGAGGUCAUCAUGUAUAAAUUUGGCCCGCCAAAAUCCUGCCCGUUGCAAAUCAGGCCCCCCAUAAAACUGAGGGCCUGCCACGCAGGCUAUGCUAAGUAUACUAACUUCAACUAAGCAAAGGACUGGGACUAGGACGUAGUCCUAAAUAAAUAAACUUCCACUUAAGAUUCUCACGACGUAGACAUUUAAACUAUAAAUAUUUACAUACUUUUGAAAAUGAAUUUAAAAGAGACGUGUGAAUCCAUUACCGUUUGCUAUGCUCUUGUAUCCACGACGGCAAAACUCUUGUGAGGUUGUCGACGUUUGGUGGACGACGAGCAAAUCGAAAGAGAGACACAUGCACACUUCAAAAACUAUUGCCAAUUUACUUCCGAUUGCCACCCUAAAAAUAUGACGUCGUUGAUAUUGACUUAUUGAGCUAUCUACUUAUUUAGGACGACAUCCUAGUCCCAGUCUUCUGCUUAGCCCUGACGUCCUAGCUGACGUCGACGUCGUAGAUCUUAAGCUACUAAAUAAUUCAUGAGGAAAACACAAAGGUGUCAAAGAAAAAUCAUAAGCGUGUCGUAUCUUUAUAUGUGAUAGAGAUUUCCUUUGAUUUACAUAGUACAUAAAUAGCCGAAUGACAAUGAUAAUUGUAUACCUGACAAGACGAUGUUAUGUUAUAUUAUAUCUGUUUUGUAAAUAUACAUGCAGCAUUGAAUAUUUGAACGUAUGUAUAUGAAUGGUAUAAAAAUAAAGAUACAACAUACUCUCUCGUUGUACGUUGAAUCGUAGCAGGAUACCUGCAAGACUGUAACUGAAUAGCGAUAUGCAUAGGUGCAGAAACUAUCAUUUGUGUAACUUACACUGAGUCGAAAGAACUAAUUGAUGAUAAUAUUCUGGGGUAAUUGGUGUCCACUCUCCGCAGAGGCUUCUUAAAGCAAGAUUGCAUGGGCAGGCAUAGGACGGAGCGCGGGAGCACUUCCGCACUCCAGUCCUCUUCCUCUCCCCGCGCGCCCAUCCCUAUAUUUAAGAAUAAUUUACCCUUGUUACCCUGCUUUAUACCACGACUAGAAGCAUUGAAAAGCACAGAAUAGGGAUGCUAUAGAAGCCUCUGCAGAGGGGACUGCCUCAAGCAUAAAGUCCUGUAUUAAAAUUGAUCUUUCUUAAUCUUAAUCUAGCAAUACUUAAAUGGUCUCGUGCUGUACUAGUGAGGACUAGGUUCUUCUGUAUCAUAGCGUGCAUGGUCACUGUAGUGUGGUAUAAUAUCCAGUAUGCAUCAAAUAAUUUGAGAUUAUGUGGUGGAUCUGUUAUUGUUUUACACCAUUGUGGAUUGUCCUCCUAAAGAGAAAAUGUGGUUUCCUUAAUGAUUUGAAUCAAAACAACUACCUCUUUCUAGUUUCGCAGAGGUUCGCAUUAAGUUUUUGAAGAGGGAGAAGAGAGCACGCAGAGAGUAAUGGGAAGAGAACGGGCGCCUGAAAGGGCGUUUCUUUCCAUUUCCCCCAUUAAAGGCAUGCUUACAU